RNAcentral lists this ribosomal RNA (409 nucleotides) under Legionella pneumophila. RNAcentral describes it as "partial 23S ribosomal RNA". It matches the Rfam family "Bacterial large subunit ribosomal RNA", at positions 995 to 1403 of the family's 2925-position model. Lineage: Bacteria; Pseudomonadati; Pseudomonadota; Gammaproteobacteria; Legionellales; Legionellaceae. The record is from RNAcentral.
GUGCUAACGUCCGUCGUGGAGAGGGAAACAACCCAGACCGCCAGCUAAGGUCCCCAAGUACUAGUUAAGUGGGAAACGAUGUGGGAAGGCAUAGACAGCCAGGAGGUUGGCUUAGAAGCAGCCACCCUUUAAAGAAAGCGUAAUAGCUCACUGGUCGAGUCGGCCUGCGCGGAAGAUGUAACGGGGCUAAAACUAGUCACCGAAGCUGCGGAUGUGCGCGAAGGCGCACGUGGUAGGGGAGCGUUCUGUAGGCUGAUGAAGGUGCAUUGAGAAGUGUGCUGGAGGUAUCAGAAGUGCGAAUGCUGACAUGAGUAACGAUAAUGUGGGUGAAAAGCCCACACGCCGGAAGUCCCAGGUUUCCUGCACGACGUUAAUCGGAGCAGGGUGAGUCGGCCCCUAAGGCGAGGCU